UGAUUUCUUCGGAAUGAAACUAGAUAUGACUUAGUGGCGGACGGGUGAGUAACGCGUGAGGAACCUGCCUUUCAGAGGGGGACAACAGUUGGAAACGACUGCUAAUACCGCAUAAGCCCACGGAUCCGCAUGGAUCUGCGGGAAAAGGAUUUAUUCGCUUCAGGAUGGACUCGCGUCCAAUUAGCUAGUUGGUGAGGUAACGGCCCACCAAGACAUCGAUGGAUAGGGGUUCUGAGAGGAAGGUCCCCACAUUGGAACUGAGACACGGCCCAAACUCC
This 278-nucleotide ribosomal RNA is filed under the name uncultured Eubacteriales bacterium. Its description in RNAcentral is "uncultured Clostridiales bacterium partial 16S ribosomal RNA". It matches the Rfam family "Bacterial small subunit ribosomal RNA", at positions 72 to 339 of the family's 1533-position model. The record is from RNAcentral. Lineage: Bacteria; Bacillati; Bacillota; Clostridia; Eubacteriales.